CCUACGGGGGGCUGCAGUGGGGAAUCUUGCGCAAUGGGCGAAAGCCUGACGCAGCGACGCCGCGUGGGGGAAGAAGGCUUUCGGGUUGUAAACCCCUUUCAGGAGAGACGCGGUACCUCCAGAAGAAGCCCCGGCUAACUACGUGCCAGCAGCCGCGGUAAUACGUAGGGGGCAAGCGUUGUCCGGAUUUAUUGGGCGUAAAGAGCGUGUAGGCGGCUGGGUAGGUCCGUUGUGAAAACUCGAGGCUCAACCUCGAGACGCCGAUGGAAACCCCCCAGCUAGAGUCCGGAAGAGGAGAGUGGAAUUCCUGGUGUAGCGGUGAAAUGCGCAGAUAUCAGGAAGAACACCCGUGGCUAAGGCGGCUCUCUAGUACGUCUGACGCUGAGACGCGAAAGCGUGGGGAGCGAACAGGAUUAGAUACCCUUGUAGUC
This 431-nucleotide ribosomal RNA is filed under the name uncultured bacterium. Its description in RNAcentral is "partial 16S ribosomal RNA". It matches the Rfam family "Bacterial small subunit ribosomal RNA", at positions 338 to 795 of the family's 1533-position model. The record is from RNAcentral.